Heterocephalus glaber (naked mole-rat) is the source of this 790-nucleotide long non-coding RNA. The record is from Ensembl. NCBI's taxonomy places the organism in Eukaryota, Metazoa, Chordata, Mammalia, Rodentia, Bathyergidae.
CGGGAUGGCGAGAGAGAGAGAAGGUGUCCAUUGGCCGGCCACUGUGGCUGUCGCAGGAGCCGUUUUCAGUGGGAUGGAGAAGGAUGCGGGCGGGGCAAGGAGGGCUAGCAUUUCACCACCAGAAGAUGGUCCAACCAAUAGUUUCUGGGACUUCACAAAAAGUAUCUCAUAAUUAUGAAGAUAGCUCUUUUCACUGUUGGUCUCUGCUGGGCAAGGUCUCCUCCAUGGUGGCUGCAGCUCUCCUCCCUCCCAGGCCUGUUUGGGCAUGCUUGACCUGUCAGAGGACUACACCUCAGCCGUCCUUCUGUAUCCAUGGUGACCAGUGAAGAAUAAGCUGCUUUGCAGUAAUUUGAACUAUAAUACAUUCGAAUGAUGCAUGCUUUAUUACUCAGGCGAUUGGCCCCAAAACUAUCAGAUCCCUGAAAUCUUGAAUUGUUAAAGAGGAAUUAACAUUUAUGUCUUUCUUUUUUCUUAUUUUAAUUUUCUUCUCUCUUUUUUUAAUCCAUUGUUAUGCCUUGGUAAAUUUGGUUGACUUUGUUUGAUUUCAGCAGCUGUAAACUUUAUCUUGAUAAUUAAAUAGGAAAAUAACUUCAGAAAUAUUUCCCCCCAAAAAAGAAACUACAAAAUAUAUUAAAUGUACCUAAGUAAGUGUAGAUAGUGCAAGGAAAAAUAUGACAAACACUGUAAACCUUUUUACAAAGUAAUGUUGCCCAAAAUGUUGGCCCUUUAAUACUGGUUCAUAUUAUCUUAGUGGUCUGUAUCCUCUCUCCCUGAAAAUAAGACCCAGCCG